GCCCGUUGUGCAUGCUUGUACUCCCAGCUCUGCGGAGGCUGAGGCCGGAGGAUCGCAGGAGCUCGGGCUUCGCGCCUGUGGCCCUGCGUGGAGUGAGCAUCCGUAUUGGGCGCAGCACCAACAUGGGGUCCCCCGGGGAAGCUCGGGGGCACCAGGUUGAAAAAGAGGCAGGACCCAGGCCAGGUCAGACUCGGAGCAGGUCAAACUCCCCGGUAUUGGACCGCGGUGGGACCGCGCCUGUCACUGCCGCCUGCAGCUCCGCCCGAGGCAGCUGAUGAGACGCGGCCUCCA
RNAcentral lists this signal recognition particle RNA (291 nucleotides) under Dasypus novemcinctus (nine-banded armadillo). RNAcentral describes it as "Metazoan signal recognition particle RNA (ENSDNOG00000037940.1)". It matches the Rfam family "Metazoan signal recognition particle RNA". From Rfam's summary of the family: The signal recognition particle (SRP) is a universally conserved ribonucleoprotein. It is involved in the co-translational targeting of proteins to membranes. The record is from RNAcentral. Lineage: Eukaryota; Metazoa; Chordata; Mammalia; Cingulata; Dasypodidae.